AAUUCGAUUAGUUUGAUCAUGGCUCAGAUUGAACGCUGGCGGCAUGCUUUACACAUGCAAGUCGAGCGGCAGCGCGGGGGCAACCGUGGCGGCGAGCGGCGAACGGGUGAGUAAUACAUCGGAACGUGUCCCGUAGUGGGGGAUAGCCCGGCGAAAGCCGGAUUAAUACCGCAUAUGCUCUACGGAGGAAAGUGGGGGACUCGCAAGGGCCUCACGCCAUGGGAGCGGCCGAUGUCCGAUUAGCUUGUUGGCGGGGUAAUGGCCCACCAAGGCGACGAUCGGUAGCCGGUCUGAGAGGAUGAUCAGCCACACUGGGACUGAGACACGGCCCAGACUCCUACGGGAGGCAGCAGUGGGGAAUUUUGGACAAUGGGGGAAACCCUGAUCCAGCCAUGCCGCGUGGGGGAAGAAGGCCUUCGGGUUGUAAACCGCUUUUGGCCGGAAAGAAAAGGCGCACCCUAAUACGGGGCGCUCUUGACGGUACCGGCAGAAUAAGCACCGGCUAACUACGUGCCAGCAGCCGCGGUAAUACGUAGGGUGCGAGCGUUAAUCGGAAUUACUGGGCGUAAAGCGUGCGCAGGCGGUUCUCCAAGUCCGUUGUGAAAGCCCCGGGCUCAACCUGGGAAUGGCAGUGGAAACUAGGGGACUUGAAUCUGGCAGAGGGGGGUGGAAUUCCACGUGUAGCAGUGAAAUGCGUAGAGAUGUGGAGGAACACCGAUGGCGAAGGCAGCCCCCUGG
This 738-nucleotide ribosomal RNA is filed under the name uncultured bacterium. Its description in RNAcentral is "bacterial SSU rRNA". It matches the Rfam family "Bacterial small subunit ribosomal RNA", at positions 1 to 732 of the family's 1533-position model. The record is from RNAcentral.